RNAcentral lists this ribosomal RNA (520 nucleotides) under uncultured Archaeosporaceae. RNAcentral's name for it is "SSU rRNA". It matches the Rfam family "Eukaryotic small subunit ribosomal RNA", at positions 569 to 1092 of the family's 1831-position model. Lineage: Eukaryota; Fungi; Glomeromycota; Glomeromycetes; Archaeosporales; Archaeosporaceae. The record is from RNAcentral.
AGCAGCCGCGGUAAUUCCAGCUCCAAUAGCGUAUAUUAAAGUUGUUGCAGUUAAAAAGCUCGUAGUUGAAUUUUAGGCCUGGCCGGGCGGUCCGUCUUUGGCGAGUACUGUUCUGUGUCGGGUCUUACCUUCUGGUGAAACCGGCAUUUUCUGAAGCGAGUGUGCCGGGGAGCCAGGACCAUUACCUUGAAAAAAUUAGAGUGUUUAAAGCAGGCAUUUUGCUUGAAUAGAUUAGCAUGGAAUAAUAAAAUAGGACGUUGGUUCUAUUUUGUUGGUCUAGGACCACCGUAAUGAUUAAUAGGGAUAGUUGGGGGCAUUAGUAUUCAAUUGUCAGAGGUGAAAUUCUUGGAUUUAUUGAAGACUUAACUAUUGCGAAAGCAUUUGCCAAGGAUGUUUUCAUUAAUCAAGAACGAAAGUUAGGGGAUCGAAGACGAUCAGAUACCGUCGUAGUCUUAACCAUAAACUAUGCCGACUAGGAAUCGGGCGACGUUAUUUUCAUUGACUCGCUCGGCGCCUUAUG